RNAcentral lists this ribosomal RNA (1343 nucleotides) under uncultured bacterium. RNAcentral describes it as "16S ribosomal RNA". It matches the Rfam family "Bacterial small subunit ribosomal RNA", at positions 28 to 1378 of the family's 1533-position model. The record is from RNAcentral.
GACGAACGCUGGCGGCGUGCUUAACACAUGCAAGUCGAACGGAAAGGCCCUGCUUUUGUGGGGUGCUCGAGUGGCGAACGGGUGAGUAACACGUGAGUAACCUGCCCUUGACUUUGGGAUAACUUCAGGAAACUGGGGCUAAUACCGGAUAGGAGCUCCUGCUGCAUGGUGGGGGUUGGAAAGUUUCGGCGGUUGGGGAUGGACUCGCGGCUUAUCAGCUUGUUGGUGGGGUAGUGGCUUACCAAGGCUUUGACGGGUAGCCGGCCUGAGAGGGUGACCGGCCACAUUGGGACUGAGAUACGGCCCAGACUCCUACGGGAGGCAGCAGUGGGGAAUAUUGCACAAUGGGCGGAAGCCUGAUGCAGCAACGCCGCGUGCGGGAUGACGGCCUUCGGGUUGUAAACCGCUUUCGCCUGUGACGAAGCGUGAGUGACGGUAAUGGGUAAAGAAGCACCGGCUAACUACGUGCCAGCAGCCGCGGUGAUACGUAGGGUGCGAGCGUUGUCCGGAUUUAUUGGGCGUAAAGGGCUCGUAGGUGGUUGAUCGCGUCGGAAGUGUAAUCUUGGGGCUUAACCCUGAGCGUGCUUUCGAUACGGGUUGACUUGAGGAAGGUAGGGGAGAAUGGAAUUCCUGGUGGAGCGGUGGAAUGCGCAGAUAUCAGGAGGAACACCAGUGGCGAAGGCGGUUCUCUGGGCCUUUCCUGACGCUGAGGAGCGAAAGCGUGGGGAGCGAACAGGCUUAGAUACCCUGGUAGUCCACGCUGUAAACGGUGGGUACUAGGUGUGGGGUCCAUUCCACGGGUUCCGUGCCGUAGCUAACGCUUUAAGUACCCCGCCUGGGGAGUACGGCCGCAAGGCUAAAACUCAAAGGAAUUGACGGGGCCCCGCACAAGCGGCGGAGCAUGCGGAUUAAUUCGAUGCAACGCGUAGAACCUUACCUGGGUUUGACAUGGAUCGGGAGUGCUCAGAGAUGGGUGUGCCUCUUUUGGGGUCGGUUCACAGGUGGUGCAUGGCUGUCGUCAGCUCGUGUCGUGAGAUGUUGGGUUAAGUCCCGCAACGAGCGCAACCCUUGUUCACUGUUGCCAGCACGUUAUGGUGGGGACUCAGUGGAGACCGCCAGGGUCAACUCGGAGGAAGGUGGGGAUGACGUCAAGUCAUCAUGCCCCUUAUGUCCAGGGCUUCACGCAUGCUACAAUGGCUGGUACAGAGAGUGGCGAGCCUGUGAGGGUGAGCGAAUCUCGGAAAGCCGGUCUCAGUUCGGAUUGGGGUCUGCAACUCGACCUCAUGAAGUCGGAGUCGCUAGUAAUCGCAGAUCAGCAACGCUGCGGUGAAUACGUUCCCGGG